GAACCACUUUUUAACGGCCGCGGUAUCCUGACCGCGCAAAGGUAGCAUAAUCACUUGUCCCCCAAAUAGGGACUAGCAUGAACGGCCAAACGAGGGCCCAACUGUCUCCUAUAGCCCACCAAUAAACCUGAUCUCUCCGUACAAAAGCUGAGAUAAACACAUUAGACGAGAAGACCCUGUGGAGCUUUAAGCCCUGUGCCAACACACUAUUGGCAGAGCGCUUUCAGUUGGGGCGACUACGAAGCAAAACAAAACCUCCGUAACACUACCACAACCUAAGACCCACACGUCAAAAAGAAAAUUUUUUUACGACCCAGUCUAACUGAUCAUCGAACCAAGUUACCCCAGGGAUAACAGCGCCAUCCUCCCCAAGAGUCCAUAUCGCCAGGAGGGCUUACGACCUCGAUGUUGGAUCAGGACACCCAGGUGGUGUAGCCGCUACCAAAGG
This 448-nucleotide ribosomal RNA is filed under the name Tarentola deserti. RNAcentral describes it as "partial 16S ribosomal RNA". It matches the Rfam family "Archaeal large subunit ribosomal RNA", at positions 1991 to 2640 of the family's 2987-position model. Lineage: Eukaryota; Metazoa; Chordata; Lepidosauria; Squamata; Phyllodactylidae. The record is from RNAcentral.